AUUGAACGCUAGCGGCAUGCCUUACACAUGCAAGUCGAACGGCAGCGGGGGAGCUUGCUCCCGCCGGCGAGUGGCGAACGGGUAAGUAAUACAUCGGAACGUACCCAGUAGCGGGGGAUAGCCCGGCGAAAGCCGGAUUAAUACCGCAUACGCCCUACGGCGGAAAGGGGGGUAUCGCAAAACCUCUCACUAUUGGAGCGGCCGAUGGCUGAUUAGCUAGUUGGUGGGGUAAAGGCCUACCAAGGCGACGAUCGGUAGCUGGUCUGAGAGGACGACCAGCCACACUGGGACUGAGACACGGCCCAGACUCCUACGGGAGGCAGCAGUGGGGAAUUUUGGACAAUGGGCGAAAGCCUGAUCCAGCAAUGCCGCGUGUGCGAAGAAGGCCUUCGGGUUGUAAAGCACUUUUGUCAGGGAAGAAAUCGUGUGGGUUAAUACCCCGAGCAGUUGACGGUACCUGAAGAAUAAGCACCGGCUAACUACGUGCCAGCCGCCGCCGUAA
Molecule: ribosomal RNA, 502 nt
Filed under: uncultured bacterium
Lineage: Bacteria
Description: partial 16S ribosomal RNA
Rfam family: Bacterial small subunit ribosomal RNA
Source: RNAcentral